This 481-nucleotide non-coding RNA is filed under the name Pongo abelii (Sumatran orangutan). Lineage: Eukaryota; Metazoa; Chordata; Mammalia; Primates; Hominidae. The record is from RNAcentral.
GCGGCCGCGGGCGACUCCUGGCACCCCCGAGGCCCCGCGAACUCACCUUCACAAAGCUGUCGGCGUCCGGGAAGCCUGGCAGCACCAUCUCUUCGUCGGAUUUGGACGCGCUGGUCGCCGACAGGACCCUGGGCUCCCGGGUACUGGGUGGCGCCAUUUUUUCAGCCUGCACAGCUCGUCUCGCGAGAGCUUCUCGGCCGACGCGACGGGACGCGUGCGCACCACGCAUGCGCCAGGUAAGCUUCUGAAGAAAGCGUCUAGCUCCAACUGUGCUUCCUCCCUCCAGUACCCUCUGAACUCCAAGCAGACGUUCUUUCCUGCAGACAUCGCUGGAACCAUUCUGGUUAACAGAGUGGGAACUCAGUACACAUUUGUGAAGUGAACUCUUGGAAGAGCUCUUGUGAGGAAGGCACCGAAUUAUCAGGCAGCUCAAGAGAUAGAUUCUCUCCUGAAAUUAGAGAUGGGAUGCCCUUAAUACAAA